UAGGGAAUCUUCCACAAUGGACGCAAGUCUGAUGGAGCAACGCCGCGUGAGUGAAGAAGGUUUUCGGAUCGUAAAGCUCUGUUGUAAGAGAAGAACGAGUGUGAGAGUGGAAAGUUCACACUGUGACGGUAUCUUACCAGAAAGGGACGGCUAACUACGUGCCAGCAGCCGCGGUAAUACGUAGGUCCCGAGCGUUGUCCGGAUUUAUUGGGCGUAAAGCGAGCGCAGGCGGUUAGAUAAGUCUGAAGUUAAAGGCUGUGGCUUAACCAUAGUAGGCUUUGGAAACUGUUUAACUUGAGUGCAAGAGGGGAGAGUGGAAUUCCAUGUGUAGCGGUGAAAUGCGUAGAUAUAUGGAGGAACACCGGUGGCGAAAGCGGCUCUCUGGCUUGUAACUGACGCUGAGGCUCGAAAGCGUGGGGAGCAAACAGGAUUAGAUACCCUGGUAGUCCACGCCGUAAACGAUGAGUGCUAGGUGUUGGGUCCUUUCCGGGAUUCAGUGCCGCAGCUAACGCAUUAAGCACUCCGCCUGGGGAGUACGACCGCAAGGUUG
This 550-nucleotide ribosomal RNA is filed under the name uncultured bacterium. Its description in RNAcentral is "bacterial SSU rRNA". It matches the Rfam family "Bacterial small subunit ribosomal RNA", at positions 355 to 896 of the family's 1533-position model. The record is from RNAcentral.